This 448-nucleotide ribosomal RNA is filed under the name uncultured rumen bacterium. Its description in RNAcentral is "bacterial SSU rRNA". It matches the Rfam family "Bacterial small subunit ribosomal RNA", at positions 45 to 472 of the family's 1533-position model. The record is from RNAcentral.
UGGAUUAGGCAUGCAAGUCGUACGGUGGCGUGAUUGAUAGCAAUAUUAUUUACGUCAUAGUGGCGGAAGGGCGAGUAAUGCCUGACAACCUGCCCUCUUGCUGGGGAUAACGCGGAGAAAUUCGCGCUAAUACCGAAUGUGACUAUGCGAGGCAUCUUGCAGACGUUAAAGGUGGGGAUCGCAAGACCUGCCGCAAGGGGAGGGAUUCAGGUACCAUCAGCUAGUUGGUAGGGUAACGGCCUACCAAGGCGACGACGGUUAGCUGGUCUGAGAGGACGACCAGCCGCACUGGGACUGAGAUACUGCCCAGACUCCUACGGGAGGCUGCAGUCGAGGAUCAUUCGCAAUGGGCGCAAGCCUGACGAUGCGACGCUGCGUGGAGGAUGAAGGGCUUCGGCUCGUAAACUCCUGUCAUGAGGGAAAAAGGUCCUUCCUGUUAAAAGCGGGG